UCCAAAGACUCAUAUUUCGUAACAUACGAAUCACACUGUGUCACACAUGGAAAUUAAAAUGACAUGAAAUGCAAGUUUGGGUGCCUAUAAAUAAAGUUGCCUUGGAACAUGGCCAGGCACGUUCAUUUGCAUAUUAUCUGUGGCUGCUCUCAGGAAACAACAGCAAAGUCCUCUCGUCAGCGACUCUGUGGCCACCGAAGUCUGAACCAUUGACUGGCCAGCCUGUCAGGAAAUGUUUGGCCGCUCUUGCUGCGGAGCUUUAGGAAAAGCACGUGUUUAUUUUGGCUGAGUUAGCGACGGGGAGUAUAUCCUGUCAGAGGACAGCCUGCAAGAGUCAGCCCUCUCCUCCCACCGCGUGGUUCUGAGAAGAAGCACCUUUACCUCACGAGCUGUCUUGAGGACCCGUGAUGGCCUCUUCGCAGAGACUUCGAAUCCAACAUUGUGACCCUCUGGGCGUCUGAGGACGGUCUGAUCUGCUUUACGUUGAGCCCGCUCGGUGUCCAGCUCUACCCAAGUAAAAACAAGCAAACGUGAGCGCUUGUCUCUCCAUCAAGUGUAGGCUGAUGGGAACCGGGGCCCAGUCGUUAAAGACCUGAAUGUUUUGCCUCAUCAGAAGAAGUCCGAACAGUUUGGGGUCAGCUCAGGUCUUCUGGCAUUCAGAGGCCCUCUCCUUCGGUGACUGUGGGCAUCCUGACUGGAAAAGGCUUCCUUUUGCCUCUUAGCUCACCGCAGAGAAACACGGGCAUGGUGAGAAUUGGCCUCUCCCUCUUGGGAUGUACUGUGGAAUGACAGUGAACGCCCAGACACAAGGAAUGAGCACCCCAGAGAGGAGGAGUAAUCGAGCCGACAGUGUGCCGGUUGGCAGGGAAUACAAGCCUUGGGGUCUACAGCAUCAGCCUGCUGGCCUCCCUGUCCGUGCCUUAAGUGCCCUGGCUGUCCUGGAACUUGCUUCGUAGACCAGGCUGGCCUUGAACUCAGAGAAAUCCAACUCUCUCUGCCUCCCAAAUGCUGGGUGUGCACAAUUACAGCAGCUGAAUAGAUGAAGACAAUACUCUCCGAUGAGAGAUGGCAGAAGUUGGCUCCCUGUCUCCAGACAUGCACAGUCAGAAAAGGCCACAUCUGUGGUGAGAAGAUGAUGGGAUUCAGCUAAUUUCCGGAGCUGGAGGGAAGACUCAGAAAUAACACGUGCGUGCAUACGUGCAGGCUGUGUACACGCGACAGGGAGAAGACCGACCUUGGUAACACCGCCUCAAGACAGGUUUUCAAUGUCAUCUUUCCAAGAAGACAGUGUCAUUCACAUUUCCACCUGGACUCAGCAUCCUCCAACAAGGUCUUUCCGACAAGUGUGUCACUAUCUGGUUCUUAUAAACAUCCCCUUGAAGGGGGGGGGGGCAUCCUAAUGUCCAUCGGCAAAAGCAAGAAGGCACUAGCGAAGCCUGUCUCAUUGGUGGUACGUUUUAGAAACCUCCCAGUAAUGAGCCUUUUUGUUACUCAAGUAAAAUGUUUUUGGAACAUGGAGACACAAAAUAAAAUACACACUCUCUGGGUAUGUUCACACACAAAAUUGCUGGGCUUGAGAGAGCAGUAAUAUUUUGCUAAAAGUCACUGUGGUGAGGGUCAACAGGGCAGAUAACAGAGAGACAGGUCCCCGCUGAGGUGGAAUUUCCACACAGCCUCACCCCUGUUUGUCUCUAAAUAUACCCUGUCGUUACUUAGCCUGGAAAUUUUAGAUGUAAGCGCACUGGGGGAUCAGCUUUGCUUCCCCAAAGUCAGAAGCAUCAUGAAGAAUGGUGCCACCGUUCAAUACCAUGAAAGAAUCAUGAAGAGUGUCGUUGUAAUUAAGCCAAUAGUUGUAAUGUCCCUCGGACGCUGCAGUACAACUUAAAAGCAUGGAAGUGGAAGACUGAGGUGGAAAAAGAAGUACAGGGAAUUAUAGACAAGAGUUAAAUACUGAUGUGAUGAAUGGAGAUUGGUACUGUCCAGCUCAGAUGUCCUCCAGGAAGAAAGAAUGGUACUUCCUGAAGGCAUAGGGAGACUGGGUAAACAAAACAAAACAACAAAACAAACAAACAAAAAAAAAACCCUAAGUAGAGAGGCCAUCACAGGUUUCUGAGCACCUGUGAGCUACAUCAGGAGGGGGAAAGGACAAAUCCACACUCUCAGGCAGGUACCUGAGAAUUACAAAUCCCUGUCCUGCUGUCCCCAUAACCCUUGAAUGUCCAGGCACCACAUCGAAACAGUAGCAUUUCUGGGAUUGGGAAGGUAGCUAAAUUUGUAGAGUGUUUGACUAAUCUGGAGGAGUCCCAGGAUUCACUUCACAAAACUAGGUUUGGUGGUACAAGCCUACAAUCCCAGCCUUGUAAAAUGGAGGUAGGGGACUCAGAAGUUCAAGCUCGUGCUCAGCUCUCUAGUGAACUCAAGGCCAACCUGGACUACAUCAGACCCUGUCUCAGACAAAUCAGCAACAAGACAAACAAAGAGGGGAUUUGUUUCUCCAGUCUGAAGUACCAGAUCUGGCCAACAUGCCAGGUGACAAGAGGUAGAGGCAGGACAGAGAACUCAAAGACGUGAGCAGAACUGUACCUGCUCUUCCAAGCACUUUGUCUGUCAUAGGGUGAUCAGUGGGGCUCUGUCAUCAUUCCUUUUAAGUGUCAGUCUAUCUUUGAGAUAUUUAAUUUGUUCAAUUGUUUUAUGCAACUUAUGUUACUAUGGCUUUGUUGUAUAUUUUAAUAACCAAAAGGGCCCUUUAUUUUACUUGUGUUUCCUUUGUAAUAUUGACUUGGCUAUUGUGCAAAAGGCUUUUGCUGAGUCUUCGUUUUUUCAAAAUUUUAUUGAGUACCUACAAGGAAACAUAGUGGGAAGAAUCAUAAUCCCUAGAACAUUAAACUGUUCAUGAAUAAGCAUAUUUAUUGCUAUCACUUUAUAUAUUAUUUAUUAGAGACUAAGUUCGAUUCCAUGGUGACCUGAUAUAGUCCUAGUUUAGUCAAUUUCCAGGUUACACUGUUUUUGCUGCCUUUGUAACGACAUCUUUUUUACUAUGACUUUAUUUCCUGGAUGAAGUCAAUGUUAAACAGAAGCAUUAUACUUGUUUCUUAAU
Molecule: long non-coding RNA, 3097 nt
Organism: Alexandromys fortis (reed vole)
Lineage: Eukaryota; Metazoa; Chordata; Mammalia; Rodentia; Cricetidae
Exons: 8
Source: RefSeq, a predicted model, not a curated record